UGUCUAUAGAUUAGUUCGUUAGUCGAAGA
This 29-nucleotide small RNA is filed under the name Bombyx mori (domestic silkworm). RNAcentral describes it as "ovarian small RNA-35780". The record is from RNAcentral. Lineage: Eukaryota; Metazoa; Arthropoda; Insecta; Lepidoptera; Bombycidae.